AUUGAACGCUGGCGGCAUGCCUUACACAUGCAAGUCGAACGGUAACGCGGGGCAACCUGGCGACGAGUGGCGAACGGGUGAGUAAUGCAUCGGAACGUGCCCAGAAGUGGGGGAUAGCCCGGCGAAAGCCGGAUUAAUACCGCAUGAGACCUGAGGGUGAAAGCGGGGGAUCGCAAGACCUCGCGCUUUUGGAGCGGCCGAUGUCAGAUUAGCUAGUUGGUGGGGUAAAGGCCUACCAAGGCGACGAUCUGUAGCUGGUCUGAGAGGACGACCAGCCACACUGGGACUGAGACACGGCCCAGACUCCUACGGGAGGCAGCAGUGGGGAAUUUUGGACAAUGGGCGCAAGCCUGAUCCAGCCAUGCCGCGUGCGGGAAGAAGGCCUUCGGGUUGUAAACCGCCUUUGUCAGGGAAGAAACGCUCUGGGCUAAUACCCUGGGGUAAUGACGGUACCUGAAGAAUAAGCACCGGCUAACUACGUG
RNAcentral lists this ribosomal RNA (482 nucleotides) under uncultured bacterium. Its description in RNAcentral is "partial 16S ribosomal RNA". It matches the Rfam family "Bacterial small subunit ribosomal RNA", at positions 29 to 507 of the family's 1533-position model. The record is from RNAcentral.